GAAUGUAAAUUUGAAUCUGAUAGGAUCAUCCGAUGGCCUAUUGCAAUCAUAUUCACAGCAUGGAUGCAAUAAGGAAUUAAUGGAUAGUAAUUGGUUUCAGAUCAUUCCUCCUGGUCAGUGAAUGAACCAGAUUUCAGCCAAGACCAUUAAGGAAUUUUAUUCUUGAGAGAGUACAAAUGUUUUUGCACGUCUUUGCUCAAAGCUUUUAGGAUGAUUUAAGUUUCUUCGAAGCUUGCUUGGAAAAAAGUUUGGUGAUCAAAUUUCAGAUAUUGUUAGCAUCCAAGUGCUCUUGGGUUUGUAAACCA
This is a long non-coding RNA of Coffea arabica (coffee), 305 nucleotides long. RefSeq lists it as uncharacterized. NCBI's taxonomy places the organism in Eukaryota, Viridiplantae, Streptophyta, Magnoliopsida, Gentianales, Rubiaceae. The record is from RefSeq and is a predicted model, not a curated record.